This 253-nucleotide ribosomal RNA is filed under the name uncultured bacterium. RNAcentral describes it as "partial 16S ribosomal RNA". It matches the Rfam family "Bacterial small subunit ribosomal RNA", at positions 524 to 776 of the family's 1533-position model. The record is from RNAcentral.
UACAGAGGGUGCGAGCGUUGUCCGGAAUCACUGGGCGUAAAGGGCGCGUAGGUGGUGGCUUAAGCGUGCGGUGAAAGCUCGGGGCUCAACCCCGAGUCGGCCGUGCGAACUGGGCUCACUGGAGCAUAGUAGAGGCAGGUGGAAUUCCGGGUGUAGCGGUGGAAUGCGUAGAGAUCCGGAAGAACACCGGUGGCGAAGGCGGCCUGCUGGGCUAUGGCUGACACUGAGGCGCGACACGUGGGGAGCAAACAGG